RNAcentral lists this ribosomal RNA (1294 nucleotides) under Phyllodactylus reissii. RNAcentral describes it as "partial 16S ribosomal RNA". It matches the Rfam family "Bacterial large subunit ribosomal RNA", at positions 425 to 2550 of the family's 2925-position model. Lineage: Eukaryota; Metazoa; Chordata; Lepidosauria; Squamata; Phyllodactylidae. The record is from RNAcentral.
CUUAAAAGUCAGCCGGACUCAAACCACAAAAACGGCCCCCACCCAACUAAAACAUUCGCCACAUUAAGUAUCAGCGACAGAAAAAUAACGCCCGCGCGACAGCUAAAAGUACCAUAUGGGAACACUGAAAGAAAACUCAAACACUCAAGCACAAAACAGCAGGGCUAACAACCCGUACCUCUUGCAUCAUGGUUUAACAAGCACUCCCAGAUAAAGCGCACUUUAACCUGCCCUCCCGAAUCCAGACGAUCUACCCCAAAGCAAUCACCUAGGAUGCACCCUCCUCUGUGGCAAAAGAGCGGGAAGACUUUGGGGUAGCGGUGAAACGCCAAUCGAGCCUGGUGAUAGCUGGUUGCUCAACAAACGAAUAUAAGUUCGACUCUAGCCAAACCCAAACGAUCCCUUACACCCAUGUAAUGUCUAGAAGUUAUACAAUUAGGGAACAGCCUAGUUGUACUCGGAUACAGCCGAAGCUGGUGGAUCAGAACCUUUUUUUUCCCAGUAGGCCCUAAAGCAGCCACCAAACAAAACCGCGUCAAAGCAACAAAUUAAAAAAUUCAACCACCCACCCCCAAUCCCCACACAUAAUUGAGCCACCCUAGUCAAAACUAGGGGUAACACUGUUAAAACUAGUAAUAAGAAUCCAUUCUCUAUCGCACAUCCUUACACCGGCACGGAUUUACCGCCGGUAAUUACCAACCAAACAAAAUUUUUCACCUGUCACCCCAACACAGGAGUGCCCAAAAGAUUAGGCAAACCGUCACAAAAGGAACUCGGCUAACAUGCCCCACCUGUUUACCAAAAACAUCGCCUUUAGCCAGACAAGUAUUAAAGGUCUCGCCUGCCCAGUGAACCACCCCCUUUAAACGGCCGCGGUACUCUAACCGUGCAAAGGUAGCGUAAUCAUUUGCCCCCUAAAUAGGGGCUAGUAUGAACGGCUAAAUGAGGGCCUAACUGUCUCCUGCGACAAGCCAAUGAAACUGAUCUCUCAGUACAAAAGCUGAGAUAUACCCACAAGACGAGAAGACCCUGUGGAGCUUCCUAAACACAACACUAAACCCACUCAACCACCCAUAGUGCUGACUUUUAGUUGGGGCGACUACGGAGAUAACCCAAACCUCCAUGAAACAGGAUCUCCUCCUCCCAAGGCAAACACGCCUAAGAUAAUUAUACCUUUGACCCAGCAUUGCUGAACAACGGACCAAGUUACCCCAGGGAUAACAGCGCAAUCCUCCCCAAGAGUCCUUAUCGCCAGGAGGGUUUACGACCUCGAUGUUGGAUCAGGACACCCAGG